UACAGAGGGUGCGAGCGUUGUCCGGAAUCACUGGGCGUAAAGGGCGCGUAGGCGGCUUGAUAAGGUUGCGGUGAAAGCCCGGGGCUCAACCCCGGGUCGGCCGUGGCAACUGUCGAGCUGGAGCACUGUAGAGGCAGGUGGAAUUCCGGGUGUAGCGGUGGAAUGCGUAGAGAUCCGGAAGAACACCGGUGGCGAAGGCGGCCUGCUGGGCAGUGGCUGACGCUGAAGCGCGACAGCGUGGGGAGCAAACAGG
This 253-nucleotide ribosomal RNA is filed under the name uncultured bacterium. RNAcentral's name for it is "partial 16S ribosomal RNA". It matches the Rfam family "Bacterial small subunit ribosomal RNA", at positions 524 to 776 of the family's 1533-position model. The record is from RNAcentral.